Hemiscyllium ocellatum (epaulette shark) is the source of this 403-nucleotide long non-coding RNA. RefSeq lists it as uncharacterized. The record is from RefSeq and is a predicted model, not a curated record. Lineage: Eukaryota; Metazoa; Chordata; Chondrichthyes; Orectolobiformes; Hemiscylliidae. The transcript is spliced from 4 exons.
AGUGAUUAAUGCCAAAGCCCUGUUGCCUGUGGAGGGGGUGAUGUUUGACUUUCUUGUACAGCUGCAGUUUGUGUGGUGAAGGUGCUCCCACAAUGUGGUUGGGAUGAGGCUAUCACUGGCUCGGCCAGCAUUUAUUGCUGCGUUUACCCAGUGGGCAGUUAAGAAUCAACCACGUUGCUAUAGGUCUGGAGUCCCAUGCAGACCAGACCAGAUCCCAGUGAUCAGUGCCAAAGCCUCAUUGCCUGUGGAGAGGGUGAUGUUUGAUUUCCCUGUCCAGCUGCAGUUCAUGUGGUGAAGGUGCUCCCACAAUGUGGUUGGGUGGACAUUCAGAUGGUAAUCUCAGUAAUUGUAACGCCAAACUGUGACAAAAUUACUCAAUUCAUCAGGAGCUGGAUAUUCACAU